This 173-nucleotide non-coding RNA is filed under the name uncultured Sporosarcina sp. Its description in RNAcentral is "Lysine riboswitch". It matches the Rfam family "Lysine riboswitch aptamer". From Rfam's summary of the family: Riboswitches are metabolite binding domains within certain messenger RNAs that serve as precision sensors for their corresponding targets. Allosteric rearrangement of mRNA structure is mediated by ligand binding, and this results in modulation of gene expression. Lineage: Bacteria; Bacillati; Bacillota; Bacilli; Caryophanales; Caryophanaceae. The record is from RNAcentral.
AAGGAUAGAGGCGCAAAGACCAUCAGUACACAAUUAGAGGAUAAUGAGAUCCUGUGAAGAUUGUGGAAAGGGGAAUUUGCCGAAGUGGAGAGACGCUCAUUUGUCUUGAAGCUGGUUCUGAGUUGAACAAAUUCAGGAUUGUCAUAUAGGAAACUAUAUGGAGGGCUAUCUUA